CAGAGAGAAAGAGCAGAACCUGAUGCCCUUUUGAUGUGUGAGUGGGUGGUGCUCUUUUUCUCCUUCUCUCCAUAGCCCUCUCUCUCUUUAUUUGUUUUGUUUUUUAAUUUUUGGGGUUUCCCCUUCUCCCAAGUCCUCAUUUUCUUCUUUUUUUCUGCCCAAAAACAUCUCUAAACAAAAGCUUCAAACAGCUUAAGGCAGGCUGAUGGAUGAAGGUUCUAGUGGGGUUGCUUGAUCUUGAAAAAAAAAAAUAGCUAGGUUGCUAGCUCCUUGGUUGCAGCUGGCGGCUGUGCGCGGUGAGAAUGCUUUGUGGUGGGGUUUGGAUUAGAAAGAGAAAGAUAAAAGGAGAGUGAGAGGCCUGUAGUGGUGUUAUAUAUGCUGAAGGCUAAGAGGUUAAAGAUAAGGCCCAGUGGAAGUGGAAGAGAUAAUAGUAGUACGAGUUGUUGUGGUGAAGCUUGUGACUGUUGCAAAAACAGCGCAAGAAGAGAGAAACUUAGCAUCAGAUGUUAUCCAUUGAAAACCCUCCACCAGAUCCCCCAUGUUCUUGCCAAUUUCCUCAACUAAAUGGUAGUAGUGAUGAGAGGGCUUCUCAAAAGCUUUCCUUGACAGAGGUAGAUCUACCAAACCCACCCGUCGAUCCUCAUACCCCACUUUCCAAUUUCUCCAUAAGAGAUUAUGUAUUUACAGCCCGGGAUAAAGAUAUCAAGAAGAAUUGGCCUUUUUCUCUGAAAAAUUUGCAGCUUUGUUUGAAACAUGGCGUGAAGGAUGUGUUACCACCAUUUCAGCCUCUUGAUUCAGUAAGGAACCAGUCACUUAAGAGAUGUACGGUAGAAAUCACUCCACUUGAGAAGCAAAACUCUAAAGAUUUUGCUAAGGAGCCCUCUAGGCCUGAAAAUCAUGUGGUACUUGACUUAUCUGAUGAUGCCCAGUUGAAUAAUAAGAUAGCAGAAUCUUGCAUAGACAUUAGUUCAUGUAGAUCUGGAGAAGAUAUUAAUUUUCCAUCCACAGUAACAAGUGUGUCUCAAUCUGAGAUAGAGUCACUUCCUGAUAACAGGCAAUCUAGCUCACUGUUACAAACUGAGACUUGCAAGAAAAUCUCAGUUGCAGUCAAGGCUGCGGGACCUUCUGGGAACAACAAGACUGAGAGUACCUUCCGGCCAUUGAGCAAGAAGUGCAGGUUGAUAGUGAAAUUUGGUGGCAACUCAGAUCGCAACUCAACUGAAGAUAUAGCUUCUAAUUCUACUACUGUAUCAGAAACAAUAAUGGCUUCCAAAGUUUGCCCUGUUUGCAAAACUUUUUCAUCCACAUCAAACACUACCUUGAAUGCUCACAUCGAUCAGUGCCUUUCUGUGGAGUCAACGCCCAAAUGGACUGCUGAUUCUAAGCUAAUAAGACAUAGGAUUAAGCCGAGGAAGACAAGGUUGAUGGUAGAUAUUUAUAUGACUGCUCCACCAUGCACAUUGGAAGAACUUGAUCGAAGAAAUGGUACGAAUUGGGCCACAGCUUCAAGUUUGCCUACUCAGGAAACCGAGAAAACUGAGACUACAAAUGAAGGGAAAAAGCAAAGGGUGUCACAGAUUCAUCCUGAGGACGUUGGUGAUGUAGGUCCCGUUUAUAUUGAUGCAAAUGGCACCAAACUUAGGAUUUUAUCCAAGUUUAGUGACCAACCUUCAGUUUCAAAAGUAGGGAAGGAUGUUGGAGCUAGGAAACCUUUUAAAGGAGACAAAGGAAUCAAAUACAUUUUAAAAAAGAAGAAAAAAUGGCUCGCACAAAAACAUCAUAAGUAUAUGAAGCUUGCUCCUCAAAGCAAGAAAAUUUUCUCCCACAAGGCCCAUGGCUCCCAGGUACAGCUCUAUUGCUUUCUAAAUAUGUUUCAGUUUCCCUUUUUCUAAACAAUUUAUGCAUCUUCCAGAUGGAUUGCCUUUAACCAUUUCUGAGACCAAAGAAUUUGAGCAUUUAUUAGACCAACUACUUUACCUUUUUUGGUUUAUUAGUAUGGUAUACUUUAUGAUGUUGUAUUUUGGAGGUGCAAUAUAGAUGUUGGACGCUUCCAGCUGUUUUGGAUUGACUCCAUUAUGCUUGGGCCUUAGCUCUUUAAUAUUGGGAAUUGGUUCCAUACAAAUUCCUGAACAUGCACAAACAAGCUAGAACAAUAUAAUUUUCACUUCUUUUCACCCUCAAGCCCAUUUAAAUAGUGCUUACUUCUGAUGCAUUAUGCACUUUGAAUUGCUAGUCUUUAGUUACUUUUUUAUGCAAAUUCAGCAGAAUGAAUGUUCAUUUAUAUAUGGUUGUCAAAAUUACUGUAAUCAGAUUUCUCGAGGUCAAGAGGAAUGUAAAGGAGAGUCUAGAAGUAGUGAGAAAGAACAUGUAAUGUCAAAACAAGCCAAAUCCAGUGAUUCCAGGACUCUAAGACCAUGGGUUUGCUCCAAACGAAGAGGUUUUUCAAAGAAGAUUACUAGUCAGGAGGACCAUCAACCUGUGAGAUGUAAUUGGCAUUUGCUUUCUGAGAGGAAUCAUGUUCAGAAAUUUACCAAUCAGUCUGAGAAUCCUGUAUCUUCUUCUGGAAACAAUGGGAGGAUGAAGUCAUUUCAUAAAGUCCUAGUUAGCAACAAGAAUGAGCAGUCUCCUGGUAGAAAAGGGGUGGGUAAUUUCUCGUUGGAAGGCAAGACCAGUGACAAUGUGGAGAGCUUUUCUCCAUCAAUGAGAGCAAAUUCUAAUCAACUGGACAAAAGUGGAACUCCUGUGCAUUCAAGUUGUAUGCCAAGGCCUUUAAACUCUACCAGGAAUUAUGCAUCUUCGCUGAGCAAGAAGACAGCUAAUACCCAUGAAGAUACAACUGAUAAUGCAGAUAUUUAUUGUGUUGCUAGCACAAAAUCUUCACGGAAUGCUCAUGCAAUUGUAACUAAAGCAAUGGAAUUCUCCUCUAGAAAUUUCAAAGGCCUGUCUUCUGUGACUGAAUCUGUGCCUGGUAAAAUUAAUAAGUGUUCAGCCAUUAAAAAGUCUAGAGCAUGUUUCAUGAAAAAAAGAGACGAAGGGGCAGUGACUUGGCAUUCUGAAGUUGAUCAACAAUAUGAUUUGAUCCAUGGAGAUGCAGAAAAUCAAGUUGAAAGCGAAGAAAUAGCUGAUGAGGAGUCUCAUGAGAGAAGCCUUGCCCUGGAAACUAGGCAAGCAAGAGGAUUGUCAUGUAUUUCCCAAGGGGAGAAAGCAUUGGCUUUGAGGAGCUCAAUAUCUGCAACUUCAUGUUAUGAUCGUGAUGUUCAGGUAAAUGCAGAUUCUUCAGUUGGAAUUGGUGAUGAUUUGCUACAGAAAGUCGAUUAUGUAGGCUCUGGUAGAGAACAGGUUCAUAUCUAUAUGGAUGACAUUGUUGUUGAGCCAUCUUCUAAGACUUAUGAUGGCAGGAACUCAAGCAGCAUAAUUAAGUCGGUAGACUCAGAAUUUUACAAGCUCAGUAAUUCCUCGAAGGUCCAAUCUAACUCUUUUCGAUCUUUUGAAAAUUACGGAGGGCUUUUAUGUAGGAAUGAAGUGCCAAGAGGUCCAACUGAGUCUGAUUUUGUCAAUGACCGAGAGAUAUUUUCUGCUGAUGAAGCUGGCAAUGAUAUGGUGGGACAAGAUGCUGAUAUAGGGGUGGAGUUGGAUUCAGAAGCUGGGCAAGGCAGCUCUUUUCCGGAUGUUGAUCCAAUACCUAUUCCAGGACCACCAGGGUCAUUUUUGCCAAGUCCUAGGGGCAUGGGUUCAGAUGAUUUUCAAGGAAACUCUUCCCUUACCACAAGCCGGGUUCAUUCUUCUCCAGAUCAACACGACGUUGUUGAUGGAGAUUCGUCUGAUUCACCAAUAUCUGCAGCAUCCACUAUCUCUAACUCCACAGCUGGUAGAUCUGAUUUCAAUUACACUGAACCAUCAUCAUCAGUGGAACCUUGUAUUAUUCAAGAGAAGAUUAAGUCAACAGGUGCUAGUGUUGAGCCUUCAGUACAAAGUGCUGGUACUGUUCCACAGGCAACAGGUGCAGACGUGGAAAGAACUACUUUUUAUGGAGAAUAUAUGAAACAAGAUAGGAUCUAUAUUGAGAAGCGCUUUCUCAAUUUCAAGAAUGAUCAGCCAUGCUGUUGCCAAAAGAAGGAGAGAUUUUCUCAGGGUGUUGCUUUAAAUUUUCAAGAUUCCCAGCUAUUAAGACGACGGAAAAUGGAUUCAGUGACUGUUCCUUCUAGCAGAAAGCAUAUGGAUUUCAAUUCCAACUUAAGGCCUGCAGAUUUGGAUGUGAGGCCUGAAUUAGCUUCUCCAAGCUGUUGCACAAAUUCAGGAUCCGAGAAGGUGAUUCUCCCAGGCAUUAAGCCCCUUGCAGGUCCCAUUUCUUAUAAGGAUUCUCCCAAUUCAGGAGUGAGAUUUUUAGGUCAUGCUGAUUCUGAUUCUGCUAGUCCAUCUGCUUCCAAUCUUAUACUUCGGCUGAUGGGAAAGAACUUAAUGGUGGUUAACAAAGAUGAAGGUACUUCUGUGCCACUUGGGGGUGUCCAACCAUGUGCGCAGAAUAACCAUCAAACUUCUCCAUUUCUGACUUUUUCCAGAGUCUCUCCUGGCAAUGUUCAGAAUCAGGACUGCCACCCCUUACAUCAUAUGGGCUGCCAAGGUUCUGUCAUCUUUAGUGAGAACUCACAUAAAGUAGGUCGAGGCUUUGAUGGGGGGUUGUCGAACAAUUUUAGAAGCCAAUCUGAUUCAAGGUUACCUGUACAUGUCCGACUACCAGCAGGCAUGUUUCAAGACCAACAUACAGAUUGCAGUUUUGCAACAUCCAUGGAGUGUCAUGAGUACAAAGGUGAUUACAAUAUUUCAAGCCGACAUAAUAGGCUAAAGAACAGACUAAAUGUGUCGCCUACAGAUAAUAUGGAGAAAGUUAUAACACCACCUGACCGCCAUUGUCAGCGUACAGAUUCCUCCACAAAUCCAGUAAAGGAAAUCGUCAUCAUUGAUGACGUCCCUGCUACUGAAAAUGUUGUGUUCAGGGAUGUUGCGAAGUAUACUGAAGGUGGGAGGGGAAGUCAGGUUAUUACUUCUGGCUUCUCAAUUCCAACAGCUCCAAAUUAUAACCCAAAUUGUGUGCUUCCUUUUUCUUGUUAUCAGUCAGAGGAACAUCCUUUCGUUGGUGAAUCACCUAUCGUGUGGAACACUGGCUUUCAUGGAACCCCCACAAAGCUAAGCAACUCAGGUCCCGUUAGUUGGGGAUGUACUUCAGAAGGUUCUGGGGUGCUGCAGCAUAGUCCUUUUACAUCUGCAUCAUCCUCACCUGGUCAUCUAAGAUCUGCGGCACUGCAUUAUUCUCCAGGCUUUUCAUAGUCAAAGUACUUUGGCUUGCAUGGCCAUUUCUGCAAAAUUGUGCUUCGAUGAAACAAGUAGAGGACUUGAGCUUCUAACACCGACUACCAGGUGUCAGGGUUUGAAAAUGGCUCUAUAGCAGAAAAAAUGGCAGUUCGUUCAAAGACAGCCUGCAUAAGCUAUAAGCGGCUGGGGACUUGCAGAAACGUUUGUAUUCAUUUCUAAUCCACUGAAUGCUGAGUCACAUUUUAAGCAGUUUUUUAGGGUUCUGCUUAGGCAAUCUAAAAGUUUCCGAAAUAUUAGAUAAUGUAUAAGAAAUCCUUGAAUAAUAGUUGACAAGGAACCUUGGCUGAAAGACAAGAAGUCAAAUGUUCCUAUAAAGAAGUUCCCUUCUCACCUUUAUUUUUCUUUUUAUGUUAUGUCAUUUUUACAUUAUACCUUUCAUCUGAGCUAAAGCCAAGUAUUGCCAUAAAGAAAUUC
RNAcentral lists this unclassified non-coding RNA (5784 nucleotides) under Hevea brasiliensis (rubber tree). Lineage: Eukaryota; Viridiplantae; Streptophyta; Magnoliopsida; Malpighiales; Euphorbiaceae. The record is from RNAcentral.